ACUCCUACGGGAGGCAGCGGUGAGGAAUAUUGGACAAUGGGCGCAAGCCUGAUCCAGCCAUGCCGCGUGCAGGAUGACGGUCCUAUGGAUUGUAAACUGCUUUUGUACAGGAAGAAACACUGGUUCGUGAACCAGCUUGACGGUACUGUAAGAAUAAGGAUCGGCUAACUCCGUGCCAGCAGCCGCGGUAAUAC
RNAcentral lists this ribosomal RNA (194 nucleotides) under uncultured bacterium. Its description in RNAcentral is "partial 16S ribosomal RNA". It matches the Rfam family "Bacterial small subunit ribosomal RNA", at positions 335 to 526 of the family's 1533-position model. The record is from RNAcentral.